GGCCGAGAUAGCUCAGU
Molecule: transfer RNA, 17 nt
Filed under: Hymenasplenium cardiophyllum
Lineage: Eukaryota; Viridiplantae; Streptophyta; Polypodiopsida; Polypodiales; Aspleniaceae
Also listed under: 1 other name
Description: partial tRNA-Phe
Source: RNAcentral